UGGGGAAUUUUGGACAAUGGGCGCAAGCCUGAUCCAGCAAUGCCGCGUGAGUGAAGAAGGCCUUCGGGUUGUAAAGCUCUUUUGUCAGGGAAGAAACGGUGAGUCCUAAUAUGGCUUGCUAAUGACGGUACCUGAAGAAUAAGCACCGGCUAACUACGUGCCAGCAGCCGCGGUAAUACGUAGGGUGCAAGCGUUAAUCGGAAUUACUGGGCGUAAAGCGUGCGCAGGCGGUUAUAUAAGACAGUCGUGAAAUCCCCGGGCUCAACCUGGGAACUGCGAUUGUGACUGUAUGGCUAGAGUGUGUCAGAGGGGGGUAGAAUUCCACGUGUAGCAGUGAAAUGCGUAGAUAUGUGGAGGAAUACCGAUGGCGAAGGCAGCCCCCUGGGAUAACACUGACGCUCAUGCACGAAAGCGUGGGGAGCAAACA
This 427-nucleotide ribosomal RNA is filed under the name uncultured bacterium. Its description in RNAcentral is "bacterial SSU rRNA". It matches the Rfam family "Bacterial small subunit ribosomal RNA", at positions 355 to 774 of the family's 1533-position model. The record is from RNAcentral.